This 587-nucleotide long non-coding RNA is filed under the name Bos indicus x Bos taurus (hybrid cattle). Its description in RNAcentral is "lncRNA (ENSBIXG00000010575.1)". The record is from RNAcentral. Lineage: Eukaryota; Metazoa; Chordata; Mammalia; Artiodactyla; Bovidae.
GUUUGCCCAUUUACAGAGUCCUGUUCAGAGGUUUUUAGUCUAUUCUCAGUUGUGACACACUGUCACCAAAUUUAAUGAUAUUUCUUUGUUUUUUAAAGUCUAGAUCAAUGAAAAUGGCCCAUUGGAAUGAAAUUACCUAAGAGCUGACAUCAAACAGAAAAGAAGCAGAGAAAAGGGCUCUCAAUGAGUCACAAAUACAUAAACAAGAUUGCACUGUGCAAGAUAUAAAGGGACUCCCUGCCCUACCUGCUUACAGUAUUGUUAAAACUUGGUGAUGCCAAGGAGAUUACAACUUUGAGCCUGAGAACUCCGUCUUAAUCAAUCAACCUGAAAUUGGUUCUUGUCGUGAAAUUGGCUUCCUCUCUGCUCCUGUGUAUUAUCCGCCUUUCGAUGAACUGCUACAAAAACCUGUUGCUCUGGUUUCUCCAGAAUUCAGAGGGAUGCUUCUGUCAUUGUGAGUCUACUGAGAGCCAACAAACUUCCUUCUGAUCCUGAUGUCAUCCCCUGGAAACUGACGUUAGCACAACCUACAAUGUUGGGUUCUCCUUCCCUUCCUGUGUGCAUGUGGGCUAAGUUGCUCCAGUCGU